This 497-nucleotide ribosomal RNA is filed under the name uncultured bacterium. RNAcentral's name for it is "partial 16S ribosomal RNA". It matches the Rfam family "Bacterial small subunit ribosomal RNA", at positions 28 to 507 of the family's 1533-position model. The record is from RNAcentral.
GAUGAACGCUGGCGGCGUGCCUAAUACAUGCAAGUCGAGCGAACAGAUAAGGAGCUUGCUCCUUUGACGUUAGCGGCGGACGGGUGAGUAACACGUGGGUAACCUACCUAUAAGACUGGAAUAACUCCGGGAAACCGGGGCUAAUGCCGGAUAACAUUUAGAACCGCAUGGUUCUAAAGUGAAAGAUGGUUUUGCUAUCACUUAUAGAUGGACCCGCACCGUAUUAGCUAGUUGGUAAGGUAACGGCUUACCAAGGCAACGAUACGUAGCCGACCUGAGAGGGUGAUCGGCCACACUGGAACUGAGACACGGUCCAGACUCCUACGGGAGGCAGCAGUAGGGAAUCUUCCGCAAUGGGCGAAAGCCUGACGGAGCAACGCCGCGUGAGUGAUGAAGGUCUUCGGAUCGUAAAACUCUGUUAUUAGGGAAGAACAAAUGUGUAAGUAACUGUGCACGUCUUGACGGUACCUAAUCAGAAAGCCACGGCUAACUACGUG